GUGGUCGUAGCUCAGCUGGUAGAGCAUCAGUUUGUGGUACUGAGGGUCGCGGGUUCGAGCCCCGUCGAUCACCCCA
This 76-nucleotide transfer RNA is filed under the name Ilumatobacteraceae bacterium. RNAcentral's name for it is "tRNA-His". It matches the Rfam family "tRNA". From Rfam's summary of the family: Transfer RNA (tRNA) molecules are approximately 80 nucleotides in length. Their secondary structure includes four short double-helical elements and three loops (D, anti-codon, and T loops). Further hydrogen bonds mediate the characteristic L-shaped molecular structure. tRNAs have two regions of fundamental functional importance: the anti-codon, which is responsible for specific mRNA codon recognition, and the 3' end, to which the tRNAs corresponding amino acid is attached (by aminoacyl-tRNA synthetases). tRNAs cope with the degeneracy of the genetic code in two manners: having more than one tRNA (with a specific anti-codon) for a particular amino acid; and 'wobble' base-pairing, i.e. permitting non-standard base-pairing at the 3rd anti-codon position. RNAcentral also lists the same sequence under 1 other name. Lineage: Bacteria; Bacillati; Actinomycetota; Acidimicrobiia; Acidimicrobiales; Ilumatobacteraceae. The record is from RNAcentral.